UUGGCAGGGAAGAAGAGGAGGGAGGAAGGAAGGGAGGGAGGGAGGAAGGAAGGGAGGGAGGGAGGGAGGAUGUUGUGGGUUUGAUGGCCUCAAUCCCAACCCCAGCGUCCACUCCUCAACCCUCCCUCAACUGGCUUCUCCGUCCCGGUGUCCGUCUUCUUCUUCAUCAUCUUCAUCUUCUAUUUCUGGCUUCUGCCUCCUGCUCUCGCUCCUCCUCUCAACACAGCACACAGCUCCUCUGCCCCUCUCACUCUGCUCUUCUCUUCUCCUCUGUUUUGUCUGUCUACCAUGUCUACGACUGGGGCCGUCUUGGGCGUUAUUCGCGCCUCGCGUCCCACUCUUCGAUCUGCUUUGGAUCGCGCUGCUUUUGCCCUGCACGCCACUUUCUUAGCCAAUGGCUAUUCCCUCGUUGCCACCGGCACCAAGGCUAAUCCCUCCUCCGCUCCAUUGUCCGCCCUGCAGGACGAGCCCGAGGUUGGAAUUGACGGCUGGGAUGAGAUGCCUGGUGCCUAUUCAUUUCGUUAUUCUGGAAGUGGCCAACCCGAUCUCUUGCCUUCAAUUACCGUCAAUUGCAUUGCUAUGGGCGAAUUUCUCAUGGUUGAUGCAGUGUCAUCGGGAUUGGAUACUCCCGUGCAUGCCGAGAUCAAGACAACCCUCUAUGCAGCUGAUGGAGAUGCAGCAGGCAGUUAUAACCAGCAGUACACAAACCUUGAAGGCUUGGUGAAUCUUGUUAACUUGUCCAUUUCGAGUAAACUUUCUCCCAAGAAAGAGAGUACAUCUACAAGAAUGGUUAGCGCAGACUCAACCACAGGAGAUAGACGGUCAUCCGAAAUGAGUACUUCACUCAGGGAUGACCGGCAGCGACCUGGUGAUCACAGCAGGUUUUCGUAUCCUCAAGUACCUGGAUUUGAUGGGGGCGAUCUUUACCCAUCUCCUGGAGCUGGGAUCUUCGUUCCCGGUUAUCUUAACCGUCGCUUUAACAUUGUCUCGGUUAUUGCAGCGGGAGUCCUUUUGGAGGGCCCGGAAUGCUAGUUGGCCCGAAUGACCCGCGAUGGGGUCCAGUGGGAGUACCUCGACCAGGGCAACCUGGUUUUGGUGGUGAUUUUUCAGUGCCACCGGGUGCCAGGUUUGAUCCUUAUGGACCUCCAGGAGUUCCAGGGUUUGAACCAAACCGCUUUACCAGGAAUCCAAGAAGACCGCCUGGGGGUCACCCCGAUUUGGAACACUUCCACGACUCUUAGAGGAAAGGACUUGUACAUGAACAACCCCUUUUGACCUAGACGUCUUAGGCGAUGAUGCAUCGAAAGUGACCGAAGAUGCUGUGAAUCUAAGAGAUUCGACGUCCUCAUUUUCGUUGUUAUACAUAUGUGAUAUUUUGCAUUUUUGCACUUUUGGAUUUUGAAUAGACUGGAUGAGAACUCUAGAACUUCCAUAUUAUCUAAAUCAAGUUGGUUAUACUAGAGAUAUCUGAAUACAAUGGUUUUGUAGCAUAGAUAAUCGUCGUUUAUCUAGUUUUAUUAUUUGUUCAUAUCACGAGUGUUUUUGGGUUGGCUUUUCUAGAGUAAUUCUUAGUGAUAGUAUUUUAUGUACGUAUCAAAUGAGGGAGAAGGGUCCUUUGUUCCAAAAUAGCAUUACAAACAGAUUGGAUUGUAUGGUUUAGGACUUUGUGGCAAUUGACGGCAUGAUUACACAAUUUCACCAUACAUUGUUGGUUCGGAAAUUGGCGCUUGUACAGUCUUGGAUACUGGAAAAUUUCUAUGCUGUUAACUGUGGGUACAGCUCUGAACAGAGCAGUUCCAACUGUAAGUCUACAUUAAUUGUU
This is an RNA transcript of Physcomitrium patens, 1822 nucleotides long. It is a transcript of the gene named putative proteasome inhibitor, with no coding region annotated. NCBI's taxonomy places the organism in Eukaryota, Viridiplantae, Streptophyta, Bryopsida, Funariales, Funariaceae. The record is from RefSeq and is a predicted model, not a curated record.